GCGGGUGUAGUUCAAUGGUAGAACAUGAGCUUCCCAAGCUUAAAGUGGGGGUUCGAUUCCCCUCACCCGCUCCA
RNAcentral lists this transfer RNA (74 nucleotides) under Alphaproteobacteria bacterium. RNAcentral's name for it is "tRNA-Gly". It matches the Rfam family "tRNA". Rfam says of the family: Transfer RNA (tRNA) molecules are approximately 80 nucleotides in length. The record is from RNAcentral. Lineage: Bacteria; Pseudomonadati; Pseudomonadota; Alphaproteobacteria.